Long non-coding RNA from Panthera uncia (snow leopard), 265 nucleotides. RefSeq lists it as uncharacterized. Lineage: Eukaryota; Metazoa; Chordata; Mammalia; Carnivora; Felidae. The record is from RefSeq and is a predicted model, not a curated record. The transcript is spliced from 3 exons.
CCCCCCUCACUCCCUCCCUCCGUCUCAUCACCGAGGCGUUUUAUCAUCUCAUGUCAUUACAAGUAGAAGGUUGAGCUCCUGGCACGGACCAGCCACUAUUCUAGGAACUAUGGAGGCAAACAUAAGACAGAUAUUCUCCACGUUUAGAAGACAGACAGAAUGAUUUCUCAAAGUGAGGUUCCCCGGAGACUUGCCUCAGAUUCAUCAGGGAGAAGCUACAAGACAGGUUCAUGGGUCCUACCCCACACCAGAUCAAUCAGAGUCU